Molecule: ribosomal RNA, 301 nt
Filed under: uncultured bacterium
Lineage: Bacteria
Description: partial 16S ribosomal RNA
Rfam family: Bacterial small subunit ribosomal RNA
Source: RNAcentral
CAGUCGCCGCGGUAAUACAGAGGAUGCAAGCGUUAAUCGGAAUUACUGGGCGUAAAGCGUGCGUAGGCGGUGAGUUAAGUCUGCUGUGAAAUCCCCGGGCUCAACCCGGGAAUGGCAGUGGAUACUGGCUCGCUAGAGUGUGUCAGAGGAUGGUGGAAUUCCCGGUGUAGCGGUGAAAUGCGUAGAGAUCGGGAGGAACAUCAGUGGCGGAGGCGGCCAUCUGGGACAACACUGACGCUGAGGCACGAAAGCGUGGGGAGCAAACAGGAUUAGAUACCCCAGUAGUCCCUGUCUCUUAUAA